GUGGGGAAUCUUCCGCAAUGGACGAAAGUCUGACGGAGCGACGCCGCGUGAGUGAAGAAGGCCUUCGGGUCGUAAAGCUCUGUCAUCAGGGACGAACGGCCGGUGGAGUGGAAAGCCACCGGAUUGACGGUACCUGAGAAGGAAGCCACGGCUAACUACGUGCCAGCAGCCGCGGUAAUACGUAGGUGGCAAGCGUUGUCCGGAAUUAUUGGGCGUAAAGCGCGCGCAGGUGGGAUCUUAAGUCCAUUUUGAAAGUUCGGAGCUCAACUCCGUGAUGGGAUGGAAACUGGGAUUCUUGAGGACCGGUGAGGAAAGCGGAAUUCCCCGUGUAGCGGUGAAAUGCGUAGAUAUCGGGAGGAACACCAGUGGCGAAGGCGGGUUCCUGGCCCAUUACUGACGCUGAGGUGCGAAAGCCAGGGGAGCGAACGGGAUUAGAAACCCUUGUAGUCC
This 450-nucleotide ribosomal RNA is filed under the name uncultured bacterium. RNAcentral describes it as "partial 16S ribosomal RNA". It matches the Rfam family "Bacterial small subunit ribosomal RNA", at positions 354 to 796 of the family's 1533-position model. The record is from RNAcentral.